UUGUCAGCCGCCGCGGUAAUACCAGCUCCCCGACUGGUCGGGACGAUUAUUGGGCCUAAAGCGUCCGUAGCCGGCCCUGUAUGUGGUCCGUUAAAUCCAGCGGCUCAACCGCUGGACUGCGGAUCAUACUACAGGGCUAGGGGGCGGGAGAGGCCGGGGGUACUCCGCGGGUAGGGGUAAAAUCCGCUGAUCCGCGGAAGACCACCAGUGGCGAAGGCGCCGGCCAGAACGCGCCCGACGGUGAGGGACGAAAGCCAGGGGAGCGAACCGGAUUAGAUACCCGGGUAGUCC
This 291-nucleotide ribosomal RNA is filed under the name uncultured prokaryote. RNAcentral describes it as "partial 16S ribosomal RNA". It matches the Rfam family "Archaeal small subunit ribosomal RNA", at positions 455 to 747 of the family's 1478-position model. The record is from RNAcentral.